Molecule: long non-coding RNA, 259 nt
Organism: Suricata suricatta (meerkat)
Lineage: Eukaryota; Metazoa; Chordata; Mammalia; Carnivora; Herpestidae
Exons: 3
Source: RefSeq, a predicted model, not a curated record
AGACAAGGAAGUUGACUUGUUUAUAGUAUUCGAGCGGCUACCUGGGCAGACACGUUCUCUCCUCCAGACACAAGUGCCUCCAGUGCCUUUUCUUAUAAGGAGUAGUCCCAUGAAUACUUCUCUUGAUGCACUGAAGAAGACAAAAGUGGAAAGAAAAUAAUAUCGUUUAAUAUACAUGCCAAGACCACAUGGUGAGGAGUCACAGGAUGAAAGACUGUUUUAUUACCUAAUGUCAUAUACUUCUGUGUAGGGAGUAUUA